CCGGGACUUGCAGAGGACGACGGAUAUCAGAACUAGUCCACUCGUCGCAAGCUUCGGAGAAGAAUCGAAAGAACGCGAGGAGACAGAACAAAAAUAUCCUCCAGGACAUCGCCAACAUGAAGAACAGCCUCACGAAGACAUCGGACACGAAGUGCACGAACGUGUAAGUGUCGGACGACGGGAGCAAGUACAGCGACGCGCACGUGUCGAGCGACACGCAGGACAAGUGCGUGUGUGACGACCUGGUGUUCCUCGAAGACCCAAACGACCCUAGAGGCUGUAUAUACUUUCAGGCAUCCGUGCAUGUCCUGAGACACUCCACGGCCAUCUACCCAGGGUUCCAGUGCUCUGUGCAUGUCGGGAACGUGCGUCAGACGGCCAUUAUCGAGGGUAUAAUGUCUCCGAACAACGUGCUGAGGGCGGGUGAGGGG
Nymphalis io (European peacock) is the source of this 431-nucleotide long non-coding RNA. RefSeq lists it as uncharacterized. The record is from RefSeq and is a predicted model, not a curated record. NCBI's taxonomy places the organism in Eukaryota, Metazoa, Arthropoda, Insecta, Lepidoptera, Nymphalidae. The transcript is spliced from 4 exons.